RNAcentral lists this ribosomal RNA (529 nucleotides) under uncultured bacterium. RNAcentral describes it as "bacterial SSU rRNA". It matches the Rfam family "Bacterial small subunit ribosomal RNA", at positions 980 to 1509 of the family's 1533-position model. The record is from RNAcentral.
CUUGACAUCCAGAGAACUUGGCAGAGAUGCCUUGGUGGCCUUCGGGAACUCUGAGACAGGUGCUGCAUGGCUGUCGUCAGCUCGUGUUGUGAAAUGUUGGGUUAAGUCCGCAACGAGCGCAACCCCUAUCCUUUGUUGCCAGCGAUUCGGUCGGGAACUCAAAGGAGACUGCCGGUGAUAAACCGGAGGAAGGUGGGGAUGACGUCAAGUCAUCAUGGCCCUUACGAGUAGGGCUACACACGUGCUACAAUGGCGUAUACAAAGAGAAGCGACCUCGCGAGAGCAAGCGGACCUCAUAAAGUACGUCGUAGUCCGGAUUGGAGUCUGCAACUCGACUCCAUGAAGUCGGAAUCGCUAGUAAUCGUAGAUCAGAAUGCUACGGUGAAUACGUUCCCGGGCCUUGUACACACCGCCCGUCACACCAUGGGAGUGGGUUGCAAAAGAAGUAGAUAGCUUAACCUUCGGGAGGGCGUUUACCACUUUGUGAUUCAUGACUGGGGUGAAGUCGUAACAAGGUAAGCGUAGCGAG